GGCCCUGUAGCGCAGUUGGUUAGCGUGCCGCCCUGUCACGGCGGAGGUCGCGGGUUCAAGUCCCGUCAGGGUCGCCA
This 77-nucleotide transfer RNA is filed under the name Leifsonia xyli. Its description in RNAcentral is "tRNA-Asp". It matches the Rfam family "tRNA". From Rfam's summary of the family: Transfer RNA (tRNA) molecules are approximately 80 nucleotides in length. Lineage: Bacteria; Bacillati; Actinomycetota; Actinomycetes; Micrococcales; Microbacteriaceae. The record is from RNAcentral. RNAcentral also lists the same sequence under 209 other names.